UUAAGCCGUUUGAAGGAUGGGGUGACACAGGAGGGUAAGCUGAGCGCACGGAUGGAAAAGUGCGUCUAAGGUAGUAGGGUGGAAGACAGGCAUAACCGUCUUCUUAAAAAGCCUGAGAACUGAUGGGGAGCGAAAUUAAGUAGCGAAGCAGCCGAACCCAAACUGUCAAGAAAAACCUCUAACGAGGCUUAUAAGUGCCCGUACCGCAAACCGACACAGGUAGGUGGGGUGAGAAUCCUAAGGCGCGCGAGAGAACCCUCGUUAAGGAACUCGGCAAAAUAACCCCGUAACUUAGGGAUAAGGGGUACCCCGUUAGCGUGAGAACUUUCACAGAAGUAGCGCGAGGGGGUCGCAGAGAAACGGCCCAAGCGACUGUUUAUCAAAAACACAGGUCCCUGCAAAAUCGCAAGAUGAAGUAUAGGGGCUGACGCCUGCCCGGUGCUGGAAGGUUAAGGGGAGAGGUUAGUGCGCAAGUGCGAAGCUUUGAACCGAAGCCCCAGUAAACGGCGGCCGUAACAAUAACGGUCCUAAGGUAGCGAAAUUCCUUGUCGGGUAAGUUCCGACCCGCACGAAAGGCGUAACGAUUUGGGCGCUGUCUCAACGAGGGGCUCGGUGAAAUUGUAAUGCCGGUGAAGAUGCCGGCUACCUGCGACAGGACAGAAAGACCCCGUGGAGCUUUACUGCAACUUGACAUUGGAUUUUGGUAUUGCAUGUACAGGAUAGGUGGGAGACUUGGAAGCCAGGACGCUAGUUUUGGCGGAGUCAACGUUGGGAUACCACCCUUUUAGUAUUGAAGUUCUAACACAGUCCCAUGAAUCUGGGACGUGGACAGUAUCAGGCGGGCAGUUUGACUGGGGCGGUCGCCUCCCAAAGAGUAACGGAGGCGCCCAAAGGUUCCCUCAGCGCGGUUGGAAAUCGCGCGUUAGAGUGUAAAGGCAGAAGGGAGCUUGACAGCGAGACAUACAGGUCGAGCUGGGACGAAAGUCGGGCUUAGUGAUCCGGCGGUAUCGAGUGGAAGAGCCGUCGCUCAACGGAUAAAAGCUACCCCGGGGAUAACAGGCUUAUCUCCCCCAAGAGUCCACAUCGACGGGGAGGUUUGGCACCUCGAUGUCGGCUCAUCGCAUCCUGGGGCUGUAGUAGGUCCCAAGGGUUGGGCUGUUCGCCCAUUAAAGCGGUACGUGAGCUGGGUUCAGAACGUCGUGAGACAGUUCGGUCCCUAUCCGUCGCAGGCGCAGGAAACUUGAGAGGAGCUGUCCCUAGUACGAGAGGACCGGGAUGGACAGACCACUGGUGUACCAGUUAUCGUGCCAACGGUAGCGCUGGGUAAUUAUGUCUGGACGGGAUAAGCGCUGAAAGCAUCUAAGCGCGAAGCCUCCCUCGAGAUGAGGUUUCCCAUAGCGAAAAGCUAGUAAGACCCCUGGAAGACUACCAGGUAGAUAGGCCGGGAGUGUAAGCUGGGCAACCAGUUCAGCUGACCGGUACUAAUAGGUCGAGGGCUUGACCAA
Molecule: ribosomal RNA, 1505 nt
Filed under: metagenome
Description: bacterial LSU rRNA
Rfam family: Bacterial large subunit ribosomal RNA
Source: RNAcentral